CACCUCCAAAACCUAAAAAUCUACAAAACCCUCAAAUUGAAGGCCAAAAUUCAGUUGAAAUCGAAAUCUAAACAUAGAAUCGUGAUCUCCUCGUCAAGAAGGUCAUAAGGCAAGGAAUCCGGGACGUCAAGUGGACACGCCGGAGGUGAUACCCGCGGAAAAGGUGUGCUUUGAAGGUACAAAUAAAUCUCUCUCGGAUGAUGAUCAAGCACCUUGUCAAGAACCGAACACGCAAAUUGAAGCUUCCGCAUGAAUAUAAUUUUCUAGUUGUUAGUUGA
RNAcentral lists this long non-coding RNA (278 nucleotides) under Helianthus annuus (common sunflower). RNAcentral's name for it is "hypothetical non coding rna". The record is from RNAcentral. Lineage: Eukaryota; Viridiplantae; Streptophyta; Magnoliopsida; Asterales; Asteraceae.